Molecule: small RNA, 466 nt
Filed under: Oryza sativa Japonica Group (Japanese rice)
Lineage: Eukaryota; Viridiplantae; Streptophyta; Magnoliopsida; Poales; Poaceae
Description: misc RNA LC2
Source: RNAcentral
GUUAUCCGUACCGCCAUGUUGGUACAGAGCAUCAAGAGCUGUGCUCUUUUGGUCAGCUUUAGGAACAUUCUGAAAUUGCCACAAGUGUGUGGGUACCUGAAGCUCUGUUGCUAGCUGCUGUGAGAGGGAGGGAUGAUUCUCAGGAUGUACCGGGAAACAUUGGGAUGAAGCAGGCUUCGUGUCGACACUGACGAAUCCGAGCUAACCAUGCCUUGUCAGGAUAAAUGAUGAUGUGGUGCUGUAUCUGGGGUUGAAAGAAAUGCAAAUGUGCUGCUGACUUCUAUGGGGAAUGGGAGGAGUCCUGAUGUUUUUCCUUUUCUUAAGACAAUAGAUGCAAAAUGUCUGCACUAAUGUUAUGUUCGGUUUAGACCCUUGCUUUUACUGUCUCCUACUGCACUUUCUUGCCUUCUAGUUCUACCGUUUGAGAAGUUAAAUUUAUGUGCACAUGCAAAAAGGUUUGGACCUU